This 74-nucleotide transfer RNA is filed under the name Thermoleophilia bacterium. RNAcentral describes it as "tRNA-Pro". It matches the Rfam family "tRNA". From Rfam's summary of the family: Transfer RNA (tRNA) molecules are approximately 80 nucleotides in length. Their secondary structure includes four short double-helical elements and three loops (D, anti-codon, and T loops). Lineage: Bacteria; Bacillati; Actinomycetota; Thermoleophilia. The record is from RNAcentral.
CGGGACGUAGCGCAGCCUGGUAGCGCGCCCGCUUUGGGAGCGGGAGGCCGCGAGUUCGAAUCUCGCCGUCCCGA